GUGGCUAGGUGGAGCAGAAAUCACGGUCCGGUUGGUCGCGGGCUCGGGCUCGAGGUGAGCUAGGGAGAGGAAGGACCACUGUACCUGUACGGCGGCGGACAUCGAAGGUACGGUCGGCUGGUGCUGGUCGAGGCAGUCCGGCCGGAGCGGGGUACGGAAUGGAGGAAGGAAAAGAAAGAGGGAGAGAGAAAAGAAUGGAGAGAGGAGCAGUACUGUCCUCGUCUGUACCGCGGGCUCGCGGAGCUCAAGCAGUCGGGCAGUCUACCUAAGUCGAGCGCGGGGAGAGAGAUCUGGACGACCUUUGUACCUCGGGUUUCGGUACCGGCGCGGAGGGCAAAAGGAGCUGGGGCCGCAACGGUUCAAGGAGCAGCAGCCUGCGGCUGCGGGGCGGAGUUCGGUGACGGCGACCAGUGACUCCGGUGGGACUGGAGCUGGACCUGGCGAGGUCGCUGGUGCGGGCAACUGCGACAGCGAGGCGCUCAGUGACCAGGAGCGGCCUAAAGCGACGGUCCAGGUACGGCGGGAACGGAGGUGAGGCAGUCGUGCGCGGUGGCCUCGGGACUAAACGAUGUCGGGGUUCGCGGAGUCGAGACGUGGGCGGGACUACCGGAGGAGAUAGGGCGAUAGAAGAGGGUACCUAGGGAGGAAGAGGAACGCAGCUCUUGGUCGCGAGGUCCCGGCCGGAAGACGACAAGCAGGAACAACCGAGAGCGUUGUGGCCGCGACGGCCGUCGGCGCGGCGAGCUAGGUGGAGUGGCUGCUGUCGUGAUCGUCCAGGGGCGGUACCUACGUCCUCGUGCUCGAGGUAGGAGGAGCAACGUGCGUAGCGGGCAGCCUCAGCGGGGUCAGCGGCGGAGCGGUUCGAGGCAGCGGCGGUCACUGGAAGCGCAGCUCCACGGCCUCAAGUGCGGGGGGACGUGGACGUAGCGCGGAGACGGCAGGAGACGUAGCUUCGUCAACAUCUCCUCCUCCUCACGGAGCUUGGGGGAACAUAGCGGGCGCAACUGGCGCGGUCGCGCACCCGGCGCGAUCCGGGUCGCGGGGAAGGCUGGACG
Molecule: ribosomal RNA, 1055 nt
Filed under: Triticum aestivum (bread wheat)
Lineage: Eukaryota; Viridiplantae; Streptophyta; Magnoliopsida; Poales; Poaceae
Description: partial small subunit ribosomal RNA
Source: RNAcentral